This is a non-coding RNA of Schizosaccharomyces pombe (fission yeast), 1927 nucleotides long. Lineage: Eukaryota; Fungi; Ascomycota; Schizosaccharomycetes; Schizosaccharomycetales; Schizosaccharomycetaceae. The record is from the annotation of a GenBank genome assembly.
AGGGUUGACACAGUAUAAUUCAAAGUUAGUUUAUAUGAAAAAAAGGAAUGUAAAAACUGCCAUUUAAACCAGUAAUUACAGGUUUAUUAAGAAAUUAGCCGGCUUUUAGAAGGCUUAGGUUUAGCAACACGGCCAUUAGAAGUAUUGUUAAGUGAUGACAUGCUAACACUUCGCUGAGCACUUUUUUUAGAAUGACUAGACCCACUAGACCACCUAUUUCCACUUGUACGUCGAAUUGGACUACCAGUUGGUGAGGAUGUCGGAGAACGAACUCCAUUUGGUUCGAUAUUGCUUUGACUUGAUGAGCGACGCAAGCGAACCACUGAAAUUGUUUCAGUUGGAGUUCCAACAGUCCGUGUUUCAUCAUCAUUUUGUAUUUCUGAAUCUUCGUAACUACUGUAUGACGCUUUGUUCUCAUUUUGGAUUGAUUGCUUGGAAGCAUUUUUAAGUUUCUCAUUAAAUUUGACAGAGGACGCUGAAGGGAGACGUCUCGCCGACGGUGGAUUAUGUCCAGAAACUUUUCUCGGUUGGCCAGGCGUUGGUUCUGGAAGAGGAGUACUGAUAUUGCUUUGAGAGGUACCAUUCGUAGCAUUCAAUGGAUGGCGAGGAGGAGUAGCUAAGGGUUCCGCAGCGGUGGCCUGUUGGAUUGCUCUUCCCAUCGCCUUUUCGUAAAAAUAUGCACGGAAAUGAACUUGAUUAAUAUGUAACCAAUGCUGUUGUGGACCUACAACCAUUCCAGGACGCAUUAUUCUCAUGUAAGCAAUAACUUCAUUAGCAGUAAAACAAUGUUUGUAUAUUAAAUAUGCGCCAAUUAAGCAUCCAGUACGUCCGAGCCCUGCUUUGCAAUGAACAGCAAUCACACCGUCUUCUUCUACUUCCUCGGUAAGGUCAAUAAACUCUUUGACAAGAGAAAGCUCUGGAACUGUGCCAUCCUCAAAAUACAUCUCUUUAUGUCGAAUUCCAACAUUUUCAAAAGUCUUUUUAUCGUAAAGAGGUCCAUUAAGCCUAACUAUCAGUUUGACCUUAUUAGCGACGAAAUAAUCGAGAACUAUCGCAAACGGUUGAGGAAGUUUCUUUGGACGUGUGCUCGCAUGAUUCCAACCAGCCUGAAUAGGACUUGCAAAUGCUAUAAACUUAGGAGAUAUCCAAUUAAAAUCUCCAUUCUCCACUCUUUCAUAAGUUUCAUAGUCAUGAACAUCGAUAUUACGUAUAUUUAGUAUGCUGCUCUCUCGUGCUCUCCACAGUCCGUAAACACAAUCUUGAAUCGUGAUAUAGUAAUCUGAAACAGCAUAUCCCGCAUCUCUAAACCCCAAAAAAGGAGGUUCUGCCUGAGCUAAAGGGGCUAAUGCGAGAUGUGGAGGCCAGUUUUGUACUAACACCAUGUAGCAAGCUAACAAACAAGCGGCAUUUGCACGCAACCUUGUAUCUGUAGAAGAAUAUAAAACUAUAGCCUUGCUUUUCUUAGCUUGUCUGUGUUUUCCCAUGAUACCAUGAACUAUCACUGCAAAUCUAAUAAGAUGACUCACGUUCAGCGGACCAAAGUCAUGAUAAAAAGGGUUGUAGAUCAAUUCAUCAUCGAUAGUAAAAAAAUGCAUAUGAGGAUAUAACUCGGCUUUAGGUGGUUGCGACAAUGAUGUGUAGUAUAACUUGUCUAUUUAACAUGUUAAUCAAUUUUACGAGAUAUUUGAGUUAAACUUCAUGCAUACCCUCCAAAAACUCAAUCAUUUCACCAAGCCCAUCAUCUUGGUAAUCCAUCAGACAAGUAAUUGCGAAUCUCGUCUAUAUUCGUCAAACCCGUAAUGGUUGAGUUCUAAAUUGUGUACCUGGGUGUUGGUGGUCCUUGUAAAUAGAAGGGAUGAUAAUGCACAAGAAAAUAUGUGGGGUGCGAAACAAAUGAAGACAAAAGUGGAUUCUAAACUAUACACAA